Molecule: ribosomal RNA, 403 nt
Filed under: Verrucomicrobiota bacterium
Lineage: Bacteria; Pseudomonadati; Verrucomicrobiota
Description: Verrucomicrobia bacterium partial 16S ribosomal RNA
Rfam family: Bacterial small subunit ribosomal RNA
Source: RNAcentral
UGGGGAAUAUUGCACAAUGGAGGAAACCCUGAUGCAGCGACGCCGCGUGAGCGAAGAAGGUUUUCGAAUCGUAAAGCUCUGUCCUAUGAGAAGAUAAUGACGGUAUCAUAGGAGGAAGCCCCGGCUAAAUACGUGCCAGCAGCCGCGGUAAUACGUAUGGGGCGAGCGUUGUCCGGAAUUAUUGGGCGUAAAGGGUACGUAGGCGGUCUAUUAAGUCAGGUGUGAAAGCGUGAGGCUUAACCUCAUUAAGCACUUGAAACUGAUAGACUUGAGUGAAGGAGAGGAAAGUGGAAUUCCUAGUGUAGCGGUGAAAUGCGUAGAUAUUAGGAGGAAUACCGGUGGCGAAGGCGACUUUCUGGACUUUUACUGACGCUCAGGUACGAAAGCGUGGGGAGCAAACAGG